UACGGAGGGUGCGAGCGUUGUCCGGAAUCACUGGGCGUAAAGGGCGCGUAGGCGGCCUGAUAAGUAGGGGGUGAAAUCCUGCGGCUUAACCGCAGGGCUGCCUUCUAAACUGUCAGGCUCGAGCACAGUAGAGGCAGGUGGAAUUCCCGGUGUAGCGGUGGAAUGCGUAGAGAUCGGGAAGAACAUCAGUGGCGAAGGCGGCCUGCUGGGCUGUUGCUGACGCUGAGGCGCGACAGCGUGGGGAGCAAACGAGGA
RNAcentral lists this ribosomal RNA (255 nucleotides) under uncultured bacterium. RNAcentral describes it as "partial 16S ribosomal RNA". It matches the Rfam family "Bacterial small subunit ribosomal RNA", at positions 524 to 778 of the family's 1533-position model. The record is from RNAcentral.